This 253-nucleotide ribosomal RNA is filed under the name uncultured bacterium. Its description in RNAcentral is "partial 16S ribosomal RNA". It matches the Rfam family "Bacterial small subunit ribosomal RNA", at positions 524 to 776 of the family's 1533-position model. The record is from RNAcentral.
UACGAAGGGGGCUAGCGUUGCUCGGAAUUACUGGGCGUAAAGGGCGCGUAGGCGGGCCGUUAAGUUGGGGGUGAAAGCCCAGGGCUCAACCCUGGAAUUGCCUUCAAUACUGGCGACCUUGAGUAUGGCAGAGGUGUGUGGAACUCCGAGUGUAGAGGUGAAAUUCGUAGAUAUUCGGAGGAACACCAGAGGCGAAGGCGGCUACCUGGACAAUUGCUGACGCUCAGGCACGAAAGCGUGGGGAGCAAAAGGG